This 465-nucleotide ribosomal RNA is filed under the name uncultured bacterium. Its description in RNAcentral is "partial 16S ribosomal RNA". It matches the Rfam family "Bacterial small subunit ribosomal RNA", at positions 28 to 507 of the family's 1533-position model. The record is from RNAcentral.
GACGAACGCUGGCGGCGUGCUUAACACAUGCAAGUCGAACGGAAAGGCCCUGCUUGCAGGGUACUCGAGUGGCGAACGGGUGAGUAACACGUGGGUGAUCUGCCCUGCACUUCGGGAUACGCCUGGGAAACUGGGUCUAAUACCGGAUAGGAGCCAUUUUUAGUGUGAUGGUUGGAAAGUUUUUUCGGUGUAGGAUGAGCUCGCGGCCUAUCAGCUUGUUGGUGGGGUAAUGGCCUACCAAGGCGGCGACGGGUAGCCGGCCUGAGAGGGUGGACGGCCACAUUGGGACUGAGAUACGGCCCAGACUCCUACGGGAGGCAGCAGUGGGGAAUAUUGCACAAUGGGCGCAAGCCUGAUGCAGCGACGCCGCGUGGGGGAUGACGGCCUUCGGGUUGUAAACUCCUUUCGCUAGGGACGAAGCUUUUUGUGACGGUACCUAGAUAAGAAGCACCGGCUAACUACGUG